This 764-nucleotide ribosomal RNA is filed under the name Tylopilus sp. G3120. RNAcentral describes it as "eukaryotic LSU rRNA". It matches the Rfam family "Eukaryotic large subunit ribosomal RNA", at positions 86 to 823 of the family's 3401-position model. Lineage: Eukaryota; Fungi; Basidiomycota; Agaricomycetes; Boletales; Boletaceae. The record is from RNAcentral.
ACUGCGAGUGAAGCGGGAAAAGCUCAAAUUUUGAAUCUGGCGGUAGAUUUGUUACUGCCCGAAUUGUAAUCUAGAGAAGUGUCUUCCGCGCUGGCCCGUGUACAAGUCUCCUGGAAGGGAGCAUCAUAGAGGGUGAGAAUCCCGUCUUUGACACGGACUACCAGGGCUAUGUGAUGCACUCUCAACGAGUCGAGUUGUUUGGGAAUGCAGCUCAAAUAGGGUGGUAAAUUCCAUCUAAAGCUAAAUACAGGCGAGAAACCGAUAGCGUACAAGUACCGUGAGGGAAAGACGAAAAGAACUUUGAAAAGAGAGUUAAAUAGUACGUGAAAUUGCUGAAAGGGAAACGCUUGAUGUCCAGUCGCGUCAGUUAGGGAUCAACCUUUGCUUUAACGAGUUGGGGGUGCACUUCCUGGCUGACGGGUCAGCAUCAGUUUUGAUUACCAUCGUAUAAGGAUCAAGGGAAUGUAGCACUCUUAGGAGUGUGUUAUAGACUUUGGUUGUAUGUGAUGGUCAGGACUGAGGAACCCUCAGCACGGCCUACUACCUGGCUUGUGUUAAGGAUGCUGGCAUAAUGGCAUUCAGCGACCCGUCUUGAAACACGGACCAAGGAGUCUAACAUGCCUGCGAGUAUUUGGGUAAUUAAAACCCAAGUGCGAAAUGAAAGUGAAAGUCGAGAGCUUUGUCAAGGAGUGCACCGACGCCCAGACCCAAGUCAUUUUGACAAGGGCUCUGCGGUAGAGCAUGUAUGUUAGGACCCCGAAAGA